GGGCCCGUAGCUCAGCCGGAUAGAGCGCUGCCCUCCGAAGGCAGAAGUCGGAGGUUCGAAUCCUCUCGGGCCCGCCA
RNAcentral lists this transfer RNA (77 nucleotides) under Gemmatimonadota bacterium. Its description in RNAcentral is "Gemmatimonadetes bacterium (beach sand metagenome) tRNA-Arg". It matches the Rfam family "tRNA". Rfam says of the family: Transfer RNA (tRNA) molecules are approximately 80 nucleotides in length. The record is from RNAcentral. Lineage: Bacteria; Pseudomonadati; Gemmatimonadota.